This is a non-coding RNA of Podarcis lilfordi (Lilford's wall lizard), 84 nucleotides long. Lineage: Eukaryota; Metazoa; Chordata; Lepidosauria; Squamata; Lacertidae. The record is from the annotation of a GenBank genome assembly.
UGUCCAGUAGCACCUUAGAGACCAACUAAGUUUGUUCUGGGAAUAAGCUUUUGUGUUAGUUGGUCUCUAAGGUACUACUGGACA